RNAcentral lists this unclassified non-coding RNA (337 nucleotides) under soil metagenome. RNAcentral's name for it is "partial contains 5.8S ribosomal RNA, internal transcribed spacer 2, and large subunit ribosomal RNA". The stretch from base 1 to 120 matches the Rfam family "5.8S ribosomal RNA", at positions 35 to 154 of the family's 154-position model. The record is from RNAcentral.
GAUGAAGAACUUAGCGAAAUGCGAUAAGUAGUGUGAAUUGCAGAAUUCAGUGAAUCAUCGAAUCUUUGAACGCACAUUGCGCCCCAUGGUAUUCCGUGGGGCAUGCCUGUUCGAGCGUCAUUUACCCCCUCAAGCUCCGCUUGGUGUUGGGCGUCUGUCCCGCUUCGCGCGCGGACUCGCCCCAAAGGUAUUGGCAGCGGUCGUGCCAGCUUCUCGCGCAGCACAUUGCGCUUCUCGAGGCACCGGUGGGCCCGCGUCCAUCAAGCUCACCCCCCCAGUUUGACCUCGGAUCAGGUAGGGAUACCCGCUGAACUUAAGCAUAUCAAUAAGCGGAGGA